This is a non-coding RNA of Schistosoma haematobium, 46 nucleotides long. The record is from Rfam. NCBI's taxonomy places the organism in Eukaryota, Metazoa, Platyhelminthes, Trematoda, Strigeidida, Schistosomatidae.
GCACUGCUGAGGAGCUCCAUAAUAGAACGAAACGGUCGUCCAGUAC